This 253-nucleotide ribosomal RNA is filed under the name uncultured bacterium. RNAcentral describes it as "partial 16S ribosomal RNA". It matches the Rfam family "Bacterial small subunit ribosomal RNA", at positions 524 to 776 of the family's 1533-position model. The record is from RNAcentral.
UACGUAGGGUCCGAGCGUUAAUCGGAAUUACUGGGCGUAAAGCGUGCGCAGGCGGUUUUGUAAGCCAGAUGUGAAAGCCCCGGGCUCAACCUGGGAAUGGCAUUUGGGACUGCAAGGCUGGAGUACGGCAGAGGGAGGUGGAAUUCCACGUGUAGCAGUGAAAUGCGUAGAGAUGUGGAGGAACACCGAUGGCGAAGGCAGCCUCCUGGGCUAGUACUGACGCUCAUGCACGAAAGCGUGGGGAGCAAACAGG